GAUGAACGCUGGCGGCGUGCCUAAUACAUGCAAGUCGAGCGAACAGACGAGGAGCUUGCUCCUCUGACGUUAGCGGCGGACGGGUGUGUAACACGUGGAUAACCUACCUAUAAGACUGGGAUAACUUCGGGAAACCGGAGCUAAUACCGGAUAAUAUAUUGAACCGCAUGGUUCAAUAGUGAAAGACGGUUUUGCUGUCACUUAUAGAUGGAUCCGCGCCGCAUUAGCUAGUUGGUAAGGUAACGGCUUACCAAGGCAACGAUGCGUAGCCGACCUGAGAGGGUGAUCGGCCACACUGGAACUGGGAAACGGUCCAGGCUCCUACGGGAGGCAGCAGUAGGGAAUCUUCCGCAAUGGGCGAAAGCCUGACGGAGCAACGCCGCGUGAGUGAUGAAGGUCUUCGGAUCGUAAAACUCUGUUAUUAGGGAAGAACAAAUGUGUAAGUAACUAUGCACGUCUUGACGGUACCUAAUCAGAAAGCCACGGCUAACUACGUG
Molecule: ribosomal RNA, 497 nt
Filed under: uncultured bacterium
Lineage: Bacteria
Description: partial 16S ribosomal RNA
Rfam family: Bacterial small subunit ribosomal RNA
Source: RNAcentral